UACGGAAGGUCCGGGCGUUAUCCGGAUUUAUUGGGUUUAAAGGGAGCGCAGGCUGAAGAUUAAGCGUGACGUGAAAUGCCCCAGCUCAACCGGGGAAUUGCGUCGCGAACUGGUUUUCUUGAGUGAGAACGACGUAGGCGGAAUUCGUGGUGUAGCGGUGAAAUGCUUAGAUAUCACGAAGAACCCCGAUUGCGAAGGCAGCCUACGAGGCCUCAACUGACGCUAAUGCUCGAAGGUGCGGGUAUCGAAC
This 250-nucleotide ribosomal RNA is filed under the name uncultured prokaryote. Its description in RNAcentral is "partial 16S ribosomal RNA". It matches the Rfam family "Bacterial small subunit ribosomal RNA", at positions 524 to 773 of the family's 1533-position model. The record is from RNAcentral.